This 490-nucleotide ribosomal RNA is filed under the name uncultured bacterium. RNAcentral describes it as "bacterial SSU rRNA". It matches the Rfam family "Bacterial small subunit ribosomal RNA", at positions 29 to 514 of the family's 1533-position model. The record is from RNAcentral.
AUUGAACGCUGGCGGCAUGCCUUACACAUGCAAGUCGAACGGUAACGCGGGGCAACCUGGCGACGAGUGGCGAACGGGUGAGUAAUACAUCGGAACGUGCCCAGUAGUGGGGGAUAGCCCGGCGAAAGCCGGAUUAAUACCGCAUACGACCUACGGGUGAAAGCGGGGGACCGCAAGGCCUCGCGCUAUUGGAGCGGCCGAUGUCAGAUUAGGUAGUUGGUGGGGUAAAGGCCUACCAAGCCUACGAUCUGUAGCUGGUCUGAGAGGACGACCAGCCACACUGGGACUGAGACACGGCCCAGACUCCUACGGGAGGCAGCAGUGGGGAAUUUUGGACAAUGGGCGAAAGCCUGAUCCAGCCAUGCCGCGUGCGGGAAGAAGGCCUCGGUUGUAACGACUUUGUCUAGGAAGAACGUACUUGGAGUAAUACCCGACGAUAAUAGACGGUACCGUGAAGAAUAAGACACCGGCGUAACUACGUAGCCAGCAG